UUUGUAAAUAAACGCACCAGAAAGUCUUGUAUAGAAACGCAACAUAAACCGUUAGUAAAUAAACCCACCAUAAACCGUUUGUAAAUAAACGCACCAUAAACCGUGUGUAAAUAAACCCACCAUAAACCGUUUGUAAAUAAACGCACCAGAAAGUCUUGUAAAGAAACGCACGAGAAAUGCAUCAACCUAGUGGCUUCAUACACCGUGUUUGAGAAAGCAAACCAAAUUUCUUGAAUGUUUAAUAGUUUCGGAACAAGUAGAAUGGAGCCGGAAUUCAGGCAAAUGAAGGCGGGAUUAAGAGUACUGAAGGCUGGGCUUAGGCCAAUGGAGGCGGGGCUCAGAGCAAUGGAGGCGGGGCUUAGGCCAAUGGAGGCGGGGCUUAGGGCCGGAUUAAAUGCUAUGAAAACCAGUGUACCUAAACCAGAUCCAAAGAAGAAUGUGUUCAUCAAUGAUGGGCAGACUACAUUUGUUGUUGACGAUGAUGCCCACGCGUCCCAUCCAAGGGCUGAAAACAACAGCCGGGUACAUGCGAGUAUCUUCUCCAACAUCAUCAACGGGGCGCCUUGUACCGUUAACAUCAACACGAGGAACGACGGUCAUGGAGGCUCGAGCUAAGGACAAUUGGUUGAAGGGUCAAGGUUAAUCUGCUCUAUCUGUUGGAUGCAUUCUACUCUAAAAUGUUGAUAUUUUUGUGUACGCUUGUACACCUACGCGUACACAGACACAGGCACAAACAUGCAGAUGUAUAUACAGUCUCAUUCACAGAUAAACAUUGACACAUAGUCGUACGCACAUUUCACCCCCUUCAGAAACUGUAAAAGAUAAAAACAUUUGAU
Long non-coding RNA from Physella acuta, 836 nucleotides. RefSeq lists it as uncharacterized. The record is from RefSeq and is a predicted model, not a curated record. Lineage: Eukaryota; Metazoa; Mollusca; Gastropoda; Physidae.